RNAcentral lists this non-coding RNA (29 nucleotides) under Homo sapiens (human). The record is from RNAcentral. Lineage: Eukaryota; Metazoa; Chordata; Mammalia; Primates; Hominidae.
UGGAGAAAGCCAAAACACAUUAUGAUGCC